RNAcentral lists this long non-coding RNA (999 nucleotides) under Homo sapiens (human). Its description in RNAcentral is "HSALNT0387116". Lineage: Eukaryota; Metazoa; Chordata; Mammalia; Primates; Hominidae. The record is from RNAcentral.
ACAUUUGCGUGAGGGGGAAAAAAUACCCGCUUGUCCGUCCUGUCCCUUCAGGCUGCGCAACGCUGGAGGGCGAUGGGAGCUCCACACAGGUGGGACGAGCCUAGCAGUGAUGCUGCCUGGAGUUAAAGGAGGCCAGGAGCACCAGAAGCUGGAGGAGGCCGGGGUGGAUUCUCGCCUGGAGGCUUCAGUGGGAGCACGAGCUCCCGACACUUCGGUUCCAUCUCUUGUUUAAAGGCACCCAGUUUCUCAUCAUUUGUUACAGCACCAUGGAAAACCCACACACAAGUGAAGCCCCGACCCACCUCCCAAGUGCCCAUCUGAGCACCCCUCGUGGACUCUGAGCAGGGGGUUGCCAUCACCAACUCCAAGUCUUGCAGCCCCUCUUCCCUUCAGUCUGGCUGCCACCUUCUUCAUUGCCCUGGAAAAAAAUAAUGAAGUUUCACCAUUUAAAGGGUUUCAGUGCAGCUUGCUAUGGGAACACUGGAGAGUAACACAAAUGGCCAAUUGUCCUAAUAGCCACCAUGGAUUGGAUGGAUGCUAACAACAGGCUCACAGUUCUCCUUCUGUUGCCUCCUUUUAUCCACAUGAGAAUCAAACAAGUAGGUGCUGCUGGUAUUACUGUAUUUUUCUCAUUUUAAAGAUCAGGAUGGGGAGGGUUGAGGAGGUUAAGGAAGUUGUUAGAAGUUACACUGAAGUUAAGAAAGGAAAAAGGACUUAGAAACUUAUUCUUCCAACUUUAGAACCACGGUCAGUGACCAAGGCCCUGCUUAGAACUUUCUGAAGGUUGCAGCUGGCCUUCUACCUGGAGUUUUGACUUCCUUUCCGAGAAAGGAACUUGAAUGGCAAUCACAAGAAAGUUGAGAACUUCUCUUUCAUAUUUUAAGCAUUCAUUUUUUUUUAUAUUUAUUUUAAUUUACAAAUACUAAUUGUAUAUAUGUAUAAGGUAAGAUAUGAUAGUUUGAUAUGGCUACCUUGUAAUAAAAUGAGCCUCAUUACCAA